Molecule: ribosomal RNA, 429 nt
Filed under: Chloroflexota bacterium
Lineage: Bacteria; Bacillati; Chloroflexota
Description: Chloroflexi bacterium partial 16S ribosomal RNA
Rfam family: Bacterial small subunit ribosomal RNA
Source: RNAcentral
UGGGGAAUAUUGCACAAUGGGCGCAAGCCUGAUGCAGCCAUGCCGCGUGUGUGAAGAAGGCCUUCGGGUUGUAAAGCACUUUCAGCGGGGAGGAAGGCGUUAAGGUUAAUAACCUUGGCGAUUGACGUUACCCGCAGAAGAAGCACCGGCUAACUACGUGCCAGCAGCCGCGGUAAUACGUAGGUGGCAAGCGUUGUCCGGAUUUAUUGGGCGUAAAGCGAGCGCAGGCGGUUUCUUAAGUCUGAUGUGAAAGCCCCCGGCUCAACCGGGGAGGGUCAUUGGAAACUGGGAGACUUGAGUGCAGAAGAGGAGAGUGGGAUUCCAUGUGUAGCGGUGAAAUGCGUGGAUAUAUGGAGGAACACCAGUGGCGAAGGCGGCUCUCUGGUCUGUAACUGACGCUGAGGCUCGAAAGCGUGGGGGGCAAACAGG